AAUAAAAUUUUCAUUGGGAGUUUGCUCACCUUUUUACUUGGUGCAGCACUUGCUGGAGUGGGCAUAACAAGGUUAUUGAGACUUCCACCAUUUGAUAAGAGUAAGUGGAAACAUCAGUCAUAACUAAGAUGAAUUGGAAAGAGCAAGUGAACAGCUUAUUGUAUACAAGUGUUGAAAAUAUGUAUAAAUAAAUGAAACAAUAUUG
Non-coding RNA from Cherax quadricarinatus, 205 nucleotides. Lineage: Eukaryota; Metazoa; Arthropoda; Malacostraca; Decapoda; Parastacidae. The record is from RefSeq and is a predicted model, not a curated record.